RNAcentral lists this ribosomal RNA (585 nucleotides) under Klebsiella pneumoniae. RNAcentral's name for it is "partial 23S ribosomal RNA". It matches the Rfam family "Bacterial large subunit ribosomal RNA", at positions 911 to 1498 of the family's 2925-position model. Lineage: Bacteria; Pseudomonadati; Pseudomonadota; Gammaproteobacteria; Enterobacterales; Enterobacteriaceae. The record is from RNAcentral. RNAcentral also lists the same sequence under 1 other name.
UGUUUCGGCUAGGGGGUCAUCCCGACUUACCAACCCGAUGCAAACUACGAAUACCGAAGAAUGUUAUCACGGGAGACACACGGCGGGUGCUAACGUCCGUCGUGAAGAGGGAAACAACCCAGACCGCCAGCUAAGGUCCCAAAGUCAUGGUUAAGUGGGAAACGAUGUGGGAAGGCACAGACAGCCAGGAUGUUGGCUUAGAAGCAGCCAUCAUUUAAAGAAAGCGUAAUAGCUCACUGGUCGAGUCGGCCUGCGCGGAAGAUGUAACGGGGCUAAACCAUGCACCGAAGCUGCGGCAGCGACACUAUGUGUUGUUGGGUAGGGGAGCGUUCUGUAAGCCUGCGAAGGUGUGCUGUGAGGCAUGCUGGAGGUAUCAGAAGUGCGAAUGCUGACAUAAGUAACGAUAAAGCGGGUGAAAAGCCCGCUCGCCGGAAGACCAAGGGUUCCUGUCCAACGUUAAUCGGGGCAGGGUGAGUCGACCCCUAAGGCGAGGCCGAAAGGCGUAGUCGAUGGGAAACAGGUUAAUAUUCCUGUACUUGGUGUUACUGCGAAGGGGGGACGGAGAAGGCUAUGUUAGCCGGGCGA